Molecule: long non-coding RNA, 470 nt
Organism: Microplitis mediator
Lineage: Eukaryota; Metazoa; Arthropoda; Insecta; Hymenoptera; Braconidae
Exons: 3
Source: RefSeq, a predicted model, not a curated record
CUUUAGUUGCAAUAAAUAUAAAAAAAAACUAAGCUGAGAAAAGCUAACACAUGAAUAAUUCACUCACUAUAAAUAAACUACAAAGUCAUUUUAAGUUUAGUAUUCGUUGUUGGAACAACAAAAAGUUCAUCUAAAGUAUCUUCUUUAAUAUCUGCGUCACAAAAAAAUUAAGAUGUCAAAAAUAAUCCUAUUAUUAUCAAUUUUCUUGCUGGUAGGCCUGCAUAGUGCUGCAGUUGACGGAUGUGUUGGCAAAUGGUGUCACCCUUCAUGGGGUUAUGAAUGUUGCGAGGAUCAUGUCUGCAGUAACUACUUUUGGCAAGGUAAAUGCAUUACUAUGAUUGAUUGGAUAAAAAUAGGAUAGUAACGAAUACAAAUAAUUUGUUAUGAUAAUUAUCAAGACAAAAAUGAUGUUAGGAUUUCGCAUUAUUGCUUUAUGUAAUCAUUAAUAAAUGUCUCUAUAAUAUUGACUA